AUUGAACGCUGGCGGCAUGCUUUACACAUGCAAGUCGAACGGCAGCGGGGGCUUCGGCCUGCCGGCGAGUGGCGAACGGGUGAGUAAUGCAUCGGAACGUGCCCAGUCAUGGGGGAUAACUACGCGAAAGCGUAGCUAAUACCGCAUACGCCCUGAGGGGGAAAGUGGGGGAUCUUCGGACCUCACGUGAUUGGAGCGGCCGAUGUCAGAUUAGCUAGUUGGUGAGGUAAAGGCUCACCAAGGCGACGAUCCGUAGCGGGUCUGAGAGGAUGAUCCGCCACACUGGGACUGAGACACGGCCCAGACUCCUACGGGAGGCAGCAGUGGGGAAUUUUGGACAAUGGGGGCAACCCUGAUCCAGCCAUGCCGCGUGAGUGAAGAA
This 382-nucleotide ribosomal RNA is filed under the name uncultured bacterium. Its description in RNAcentral is "bacterial SSU rRNA". It matches the Rfam family "Bacterial small subunit ribosomal RNA", at positions 29 to 412 of the family's 1533-position model. The record is from RNAcentral.